GAACGCUAGCUACAGGCUUAACACAUGCAAGUCGAGGGGCAGACACAAGGCAGCAAUGCUGAGGUGGCGACCGGCGCACAGGUGCGUAACGCGUAUGCGACCUACCUAUAACAGGGGGAUAACCCAGAGAAAUUUGGACUAAUACCCCAUAUUAUUAUUGAGCUGCAUGGUUUGAUAAUGAAAGACUUUGGUUGGUUAUAGAUGGGCAUGCGUGACAUUAGCUAGUUGGUAAGGUAACGGCUUACCAAGGCGACGAUGUCUAGGGGAACUGAGAGGUUAAUCCCCCACACUGGUACUGAGACACGGACCAGACUCCUACGGGAGGCAGCAGUGAGGAAUAUUGGUCAAUGGGUCGGAAGACUGAACCAGCCAUGCCGCGUGAAGGAAGAAUGUCCUAUGGAUUGUAAACUUCUUUUGUAAGGGAGCAAUAAGUUCCAUGCGUGGGAUGAUGAGAGUACCUUACGAAUAAGCAUCGGCUAACUCCGUG
RNAcentral lists this ribosomal RNA (487 nucleotides) under uncultured bacterium. RNAcentral's name for it is "bacterial SSU rRNA". It matches the Rfam family "Bacterial small subunit ribosomal RNA", at positions 31 to 507 of the family's 1533-position model. The record is from RNAcentral.